This 301-nucleotide ribosomal RNA is filed under the name uncultured bacterium. Its description in RNAcentral is "partial 16S ribosomal RNA". It matches the Rfam family "Bacterial small subunit ribosomal RNA", at positions 509 to 807 of the family's 1533-position model. The record is from RNAcentral.
CAGCAGCCACGGUAAUACAGAGGGCGCGAGCGUUACCCGGAUUUACUGGGCGUAAAGGGCGUGUAGGCGGCCUGGGGCGUCCCAUGUGAAAGGCCACGGCUCAACCGUGGAGGAGCGUGGGAUACGCUCAGGCUAGAGGGUGGGAGAGGGUGGUGGAAUUCCCGGAGUAGCGGUGAAAUGCGCAGAUACCGGGAGGAACGCCGAUGGCGAAGGCAGCCACCUGGUCCACUUCUGACGCUGAGGCGCGGAAGCGUGGGGAGCAAACCGGAUUAGAUACCCCAGUAGUCCCUGUCUCUUAUAC